Molecule: transfer RNA, 74 nt
Filed under: Myxococcales bacterium
Lineage: Bacteria; Pseudomonadati; Myxococcota; Myxococcia; Myxococcales
Description: tRNA-Cys
Rfam family: tRNA
About the family: Transfer RNA (tRNA) molecules are approximately 80 nucleotides in length. Their secondary structure includes four short double-helical elements and three loops (D, anti-codon, and T loops).
Source: RNAcentral
GGUGCCGUGCCCGAGUGGUUAGGGGUCGGUCUGCAAAACCGCUUACACCGGUUCGAUUCCGGUCGGCACCUCCA